RNAcentral lists this ribosomal RNA (518 nucleotides) under uncultured bacterium. Its description in RNAcentral is "bacterial SSU rRNA". It matches the Rfam family "Bacterial small subunit ribosomal RNA", at positions 18 to 518 of the family's 1533-position model. The record is from RNAcentral.
CCUGGCUUAGGAUGAACGCUGGCGGCGUGCUUAACACAUGCAAGUCGAACGAAGCACCUCUAAUCGAAGAUUGAGAAAGCUUGCUUUGAUUGAUUCACCUUGAGGUGACUGAGUGGCGGACGGGUGAGUAACGCGUGGGUAACCUACCCUAUACAGGGGGAUAACAGUUGGAAACGACUGCUAAUACCGCAUAAGCGCACAGGACCGCAUGGUCUAGUGUGAAAAACUCCGGUGGUAUAGGAUGGACCCGCGUCUGAUUAGCUAGUUGGUGAGGUAACGGCUCACCAAGGCGACGAUCAGUAGCCGACCUGAGAGGGUGACCGGCCACAUUGGGACUGAGACACGGCCCAAACUCCUACGGGAGGCAGCAGUGGGGAAUAUUGCACAAUGGGCGAAAGCCUGAUGCAGCGACGCCGCGUGAACGAAGAAGUAUUUCGGUAUGUAAAGUUCUAUCAGCAGGGAAGAAAAAUGACGGUACCUGACUAAGAAGCUCCGGCUAAAUACGUGCCAGCAGCCGC